This 126-nucleotide transfer RNA is filed under the name Agathobacter rectalis. Its description in RNAcentral is "tRNA-OTHER". It matches the Rfam family "tRNA". Rfam says of the family: Transfer RNA (tRNA) molecules are approximately 80 nucleotides in length. Their secondary structure includes four short double-helical elements and three loops (D, anti-codon, and T loops). The record is from RNAcentral. RNAcentral also lists the same sequence under 2 other names. Lineage: Bacteria; Bacillati; Bacillota; Clostridia; Lachnospirales; Lachnospiraceae.
GCCACCGUAGCUCAACUGGAUAGAGCAACGUAAAUCGAAAAACGUGUCUAGUAUUAGACACAGACAGCAAUUUUUCAAGAUAGCAUGUUAAGCCGUAGGUUAUAGGUUCGACUCCUAUCGGUGGCG